GAUGAAGAACGUAGCGAAAUGCGAUAAGUAAUGCGAAUUGCAGAAUUUCCGUGAGUCAUCGAAUCUUUGAACGCACAUUGCGCCCGCUAGUAUUCUGGCGGGCAUGCCUGUCCGAGCGUCAUUUCAACCCUCAAGCCCCCGGGCUUGGUGUUGGGGAUCGGCGAGCCUCCGCGCCCGCCGUCCCCUAAAUCUAGUGGCGGUCUCGCUGUAGCUUCCUCUGCGUAGUAGCACACCUCGCACUGGGAAACAGCGCGGCCACGCCGUUAAACCCCCAACUUCUGAACGUUUGACUUCGGAUCAGGUAGGAAUACCCGCUGAACUUAAGCAUAUCAAUAAGCGGAGGA
Molecule: unclassified non-coding RNA, 344 nt
Filed under: soil metagenome
Description: partial contains 5.8S ribosomal RNA, internal transcribed spacer 2, and large subunit ribosomal RNA
Rfam family: 5.8S ribosomal RNA (bases 1-121)
Source: RNAcentral